CCUAGUGGCGUAUCCAAAGUUUCAGAGUCAGAAGGUGAAUAUUUUAGGGUGCCAGAGAAUAACUUUGACUACUACCCCCAUUACUUCUAAAUGUUAUUUUCUGAGCACCUGCUAUGUUCUAGGCACUGUGCUGCACUUGCCAGAGACUUAUUCACUCCCUAGAACAACCCUCUCGGACGAACAGUAGACACACUGCGGGUUCUGCAGUGCUCAGAGACUUGCCUGGGUUCCCACAAUUAGUAAGGGGAUGAGCUAGAAGCCCAAGUCAAGGCCAAGGUAUGCUCAGUUCACCCCAAACACACCAGGCUUUAUGAUGCUAGUUCUUAACAUGGGGCUGCAUCUCCUGCCAGGAAGCCCUGUCCCCUGAUGUGUUCCCCACCUUUUUUCAUUUUGUAAGUCUGUUGGAAGUGGACUUAUGCUCCUAAGGUUGUUGUAGGGACUGAAUAAGAUGCAUGCAAAGCAUUUAGCACAGAAUCUGGUAUUCAGUGUCCGUCCUCAACAUCGUGGUGCCCAUCACCACUGUGGACCUUUCUUUUCACCUCCAUCCGGUACACAUUUUGAAUCACAUUGUCUUUCACUUUUAGAAGAGAAGUUCGAAGCCAUGACGGUAUUCAGUAGUGGCAUCAGGACACAUCAAUUGUUCUCAUUCUCACCAUUGAACACUUCCUAGGUCCUUACUGUGUGACAAAAUUCUAUGUGUAGUUAUAUCGUAACGCCUAGGUAAACAGGCUUUCCUCCAUUUUAUAGAUGGGGAAACUAGCUUAAAUCACUUGUCCAAAACCAGAAAAGCGUGUGAGAGACAAAAGAGGGCACAUCAGACACUAAAAGCAACGCAGGAGCAGUUACACAAUGCAGAAAGAAGCUGCUGAGGAAAAAAAUGAACAGAAAGUUAAGUCUUCUUAAAUUAUUUUGGCUUAUUAUUUGAAGUCCUGUGAGCCACAGAGUUUUGAGUUGGAGUUAGGGGUUGGCCUUGUUGAAAACAGUGACAUCAGCUCCCUAUGAAAUCCACCAUCUCCAUUAACUUGACUGAAAUGGUUGCUAAUGCCCAAGAUAGGAACGUCAGAAUCAAAAAAAUAUUAAAGGAAUACUGGUCACAAGAUUGGAAAGUAUUCUUUUAAUUCUUUUCAAUAGAAUUAUCUACUUGAUUUCUAUAAAUUGCCAUAGUUAAUUUAAGAAGACAAGCAUAGAGCUUUUUCAGAGUGAGUCAGUCUUAAAAUCCCAACUACUAAAGGAGGAUAAUACAGACGAGAGGAAAUGCUGAAAGCUGGUCACCUUGGCCUGUCCUGAUGGGAUCGGGUGGAGGAAGAGAGGGAAACUAGGCGACAGAGUCAAAGAACAAGCCCAGAAAUUACCUUGUGGCUCCUCUAAUUUUUCAGGAAAACUUUCAUUGCAUGAUAGUUUUUCAAUUGGUUUAAUUAUGCUUUCUUCUAAAGAGAAGGCAGGUGGAAAGAAAGAGCGAAUGGUAAGGAGAAUGUUACAGGAAAAGCAGGGAAAAUGAAUCAGGUGAUUAAUGAAAAGAUCCAGAAUGAGCCCUUGAAAUGGGAAGACACUCCCCUGUGUGGUCACGGCUUUCCUUUGAUGCCAGGUGAGUUUUUCCCUGAAACUCAAGCUUCAUUCUAAUUGAUCUGUGUAAAUGGUUGGUUCUGUGAAUGUCACUUUAUAUACCCGAGAAAAAAUAAGUUAAUUACAGGCCCCCAGUGUAAGACACCUCAGCUUUAUCAGAUGGGUGAGUCUUUUCAGAGUCUAAAAACAUUGUGGAAAGUCUAGGUGUGAAAAUGUCCAACCAGAACACCUCACUGGACUGCUCCCUCAUGAAAACUGCAGUCAUCAAACUUGUUUGGCCAUUGCCACCCACGUUUUUAAGGGUUCCAUACCUCUUCACACACUUGCUGAUAUGUAAAACUUUUCAUCCUAAGUUUAGGAAGAGGAUGUUCUUUUUCUUCCUUUUAAAAAAUGUUUUUACUUUUGAGACAGGGUCUCACUAAGUUGCCCCCGCUGGCCUUGAAUUCUCAAUCCUCCUGCCUCAACCUCCUGAGAGUCAGGAUUUCAGGCAGGCACCACCAGGUCCGGCAUGCAAGAGGAUGUCACCGCCGGCAUAUUGUAAUUGUCAAUAUCCACCUAAAAUCAGUGUAUUUCUCCUUUAAAUAUAACCAAUGAAAUCUAAAGACCAUAGUGAUUUCAUGCCCAUAUUAUUGAUGUAAAAAUACAUGAGCAAGUUCUUUUUUCACAUUUUAUAUUUUCAUUCAUACUUCAGCUUCCAGUUUUUAUCCAAAUAUAAUUUAGUUUUAAAAGUCUUUAAAUUGAUCACUCAAAAAUCCAUAUAAACUUGAAACAAAGUCUGAUUUAGGUUAGUUAUAAUCAUAAUGAUUCAUUGUACAUAAUUACUAAAAAAAGAUGAGUAUUAUAAAUUUUGAUAACUAAAUAAGAAAAGUUUUCUUAGAAACAUCUCUUAAUAAGAAAGAUGAGACUUUUUCCAAAUAGCUUAUGUUUCAGCAAAUGAAUACUUGUUGUCGGGACUUUGCGGGCUCCAAUACCAGUGCUACUUCUCUGUCUCUGACUCUCUCUUUGUCUCUGUCAUUUAUGGAGACAGAAUCACUGAGAAACCUUUUAACUCAAAAGGGAAUAAAGGGUGUUUUGUGACAGCCUUGCUGAUAUAUUCUUUGUACUCUCUUCAAAUUUAUGGACCAAGAAUCAUAGCUCAGAUAAAAGGAUUUAACUGCCUGUCAACUAACAACCCAAUUAGAUUCUCCUUUAAUUUUUAGAAAGCUUAAAACUAGAAACCCCCUGCCAUUAGAAAGGAUUUGCUUCACAGGUACCUGGGAUACUUACUUUCUCAACUCUGACCUCAACAUAUCAAAGUGUCCCUUUGAUUGGCACCCAGAUAUUUUACAUUGGGGGAAAUAUAAAAGUCAAAAUCUUUUCUCUUGUAAAGCAGAAUUCAGAAACACCCUCCAAUAAGGAAGAUCCAUUUAGGAAGGAACCCAGAUGGAAGAUGAGGAUCUGGCAAAUGAUUCCCUUGGCACUCUUUGUGCUCAAUAGUUCAUAAGCUUUGUGUAUCCCUUGCACGGCCACACCCAUCUCCACUGGAAGAAGGGUAAAGAAGAGUCCACAAUGAUAUUUUUAUCCCUGAAGACAUUCACUUGUGAAAUUAACUGUGGAUUUAAAAUGUCAAGGAUUGCUUCUUAUCUGGGUUUUAUCUUCUACAUGGUUACUGCUUCACAACAGGUGCUCAGUAAAUGUUUCUCCAAGUGACGGAACUGAGCCCAAUUCUAGUUUCUAACCUCUUCCAGCUUCCGACAGGCCAUCUUCAAGGACCUGCAUGUACUCCCAGCCGGUCCCCACCUCCAAGCAUCUCUGGCUACUCUCUAGAAAUCCACACUGCUACAACCUACUCAUCAAGCCACCCGUGGGCAAGGGACACUGACUUGGAUGGCCUUUGAACUUGGGCCACCCCCGUGUGGGAGCACUAGACACAGGGAAGAGGACGCAUGGAACCUGAGGAUCUGGAAAUUGAUUAAGAAUGACCCCAGCAUACAUAAUAUCCUUUAGAGAUUUAUUAUCCAUCUCUUUGGGACAUGUGUACCCCCUGCCCCAGGUGAAGAAUUCAGCACUGCACAGUGCUAAGAAGCUAUUAGAUAAUAAGUGACUCGGGAUACUUUCUCCCUAUUCCUCUUCUGGUCCAAAGAUGAAGAAAACAAAGUAUUUUCCCAAAAUGUUCACUAAAAUUUAACCUAGACUAACUUCAAAGAUCACGUAAAUAAUAAUGACAUAAAUCAUAGAAAGAAAAGGAACUGCUAGAGACGUGUAACUCUCAGAAAAGGUUCAGAAAAUGGUCAAAAGAUGUUUGAACACAAAGGAAACUGAGAACUCAUCUGAACACCAUCAGAGGAAACCAUCAACUCUGUGCACGGUGUUCUGCGUCUGCACACUGGCGUGGGAAUUUCAAAUGGGUGUAAUGAUGACCAAGAGUGAGCUGGGCCUGCUGGCGGGCACGGGUAGCCCCAGCUCUGGGAGGCUGAGCCCAGGAGCUGGAGACCAGCCUGGGCAACACAGCUGAGACCUUGUCUCAAAAACAUAAAUGCACCAGAGCAUCAUGAAAGCUGAAGAGUAACCCUUCCCUACACACAUGCAAAUCAUCAUCCAUUACUGUGAAAACCUAAGUUUUGUAGCUUUUCAGAGGUAAGCAGAAAGAUUCGUGUUUCAGAGAAGAGAAUGUUAAGCUACCUCUUUGUCCUUUAUGGUAUAGUUCAUAAAAGGAAAUGAGUAAAAUAAAGUUGAUGCAUGGUAAAAAUAUCUUUUCCUGAGAAAACUGAGAUCUUACCGAAGU
Molecule: non-coding RNA, 4327 nt
Organism: Ictidomys tridecemlineatus (thirteen-lined ground squirrel)
Lineage: Eukaryota; Metazoa; Chordata; Mammalia; Rodentia; Sciuridae
Source: RefSeq, a predicted model, not a curated record